GCCCGAUUAGCUCAGCUGGUUAGAGCGUCGUACUAAUAUCAGUUUUCUGAUAUCAAGUCCAUGCGAAGGUCAACAGUUCAAUCCUGUUAUUGGGCA
This 96-nucleotide transfer RNA is filed under the name Sordaria macrospora k-hell. RNAcentral describes it as "tRNA-Ile". RNAcentral also lists the same sequence under 1 other name. The record is from RNAcentral. Lineage: Eukaryota; Fungi; Ascomycota; Sordariomycetes; Sordariales; Sordariaceae.